RNAcentral lists this ribosomal RNA (468 nucleotides) under uncultured bacterium. Its description in RNAcentral is "partial 16S ribosomal RNA". It matches the Rfam family "Bacterial small subunit ribosomal RNA", at positions 28 to 507 of the family's 1533-position model. The record is from RNAcentral.
GACGAACGCUGGCGGCGUGCUUAACACAUGCCAGUCGAACGGAAAGGCCCUGCUUUUGUGGGGUGCUCGAGUGGCGAACGGGUGAGUAACACGUGAGUAACCUGCCCUUGACUUUGGGAUAACUUCAGGAAACUGGGGCUAAUACCGGAUAGGAGCUCCUGCUGCAUGGUGGGGGUUGGAAAGUUUCGGCGGUUGGGGAUGGACUCGCGGCUUAUCAGCUUGUUGGUGGGGUAGUGGCUUACCAAGGCUUUGACGGGUAGCCGGCCUGAGAGGGUGACCGGCCACAAUGGGACUGAGAUACGGCCCAGACUCCUACGGGAGGCAGCAGUGGGGAAUAUUGCACAAUGGGCGGGAGCCUGAUGCAGCAACGCCGCGUGCGGGAUGACGGCCUUCGGGGUGUAAACCGCUUUCGCCUGAGACGAAGCGUGAGUGACGGUAAUGGGUAAAGAAGCACCGGCUAACUACGUG